GACGAACGCCGCCUAGAGUGCUUAGCACGUGCAAGUCGAACGAUGAAGCCUAGCUUGCUAGGGGGAUUAGUGGCGAACGGGUGACUAAUGCGUGAGUAACCUACCUUUAACUCGGGGAUAAGCCUGGGAAACUGGGUCUAAUACCGGAUACGACCAAUCUCCGCAUGGGGUGUGGGUGGAAAGCGUUAGAUAGGGGUUAUUGAUGGGCUCACGGCCUAUCAUCGUGUUGGUGAGGUAACGGCUGAGCAACGCGACAACGGGGAGACGGCCUGAAAGGGUGACCGGCCGCACUGGGACUGAGACACGGCCCAUACUCCUACGGGAGGCAGGAGGGAGGAAUAUUGGGCAAUGGGUGCAAGCCGGAUGCGACUACGCCACAUGAGGGAUGACAGCGUUCAGGGUUGUACACGGCUGUUAGCGCUGAAUAAGAGAGAUUGACGGUACCUGCCGAUAGAGCGCCUGCUUGCUGCUUUCUUGCAACUCAGUGAGACGUAAGGCUCCUGCGUUGCCCGGAAUUAUUGGGCGUAAGAGCUGUAGGCGGUUUGUCGCGUCUGCUGUGAAAGGCCGGAGCUUAACUCCGUGUAUUGCAGUGGGUACGGGCAGACUAGAGUGCAGUAGGGGAGACUGGAAUUCCUGGUGUAGCGGUGGAAUGCGCAGAUAUCAGGAGGAACACCGAUGGCGAAGGCGGGUCUCUGGGCUGUAACUGACGCUGAGAAGCGAAAGCAUGGGGAGCGAACAGGAUUAGAUACCCUGGUAGUCCAUGCCGUAAACGUUGGGCACUAGGUGUGGGGAACAUUCCACGUUUUCCGCGCCGUAGCUAACGCAUUAAGUGCCCCGCCUGGGGAGUACGGCCGCAAGGCUAAAACUCAAAGAAAUUGACGGGGGCCCGCACAAGCGGCGGAGCAUGCGGAUUAAUUCGAUGCAACGCGAAGAACCUUACCAAGGCUUGACAUAUACUGGAUCGCAUCAGAGAUGGUGUUUCCCUUCGGGGCUGGUAUACAGGUGGUGCAUGGUUGUCGUCAGCUCGUGUCGUGAGAUGUUGGGUUAAGUCCCGCAACGAGCGCAACCCUCGUUCUAUGUUGCCAGCACGUUAUGGUGGGGACUCAUAGGAGACUGCCGGGGUCAACUCGGAGGAAGGUGGGGAUGACGUCAAAUCAUCAUGCCCCUUAUGUCUUGGGCUUCACGCAUGCUACAAUGGCCGGUACAGAGGGUUGCGAUACUGUGAGGUGGAGCUAAUCCCUAAAAGCCGGUCUCAGUUCGGAUUGGGGUCUGCAACUCGACCCCAUGAAGUCGGAGUCGCUAGUAAUCGCAGAUCAGCAACGCUGCGGUGAAUACGUUCCCGGGCCU
This 1347-nucleotide ribosomal RNA is filed under the name uncultured bacterium. Its description in RNAcentral is "partial 16S ribosomal RNA". It matches the Rfam family "Bacterial small subunit ribosomal RNA", at positions 28 to 1381 of the family's 1533-position model. The record is from RNAcentral.